Molecule: ribosomal RNA, 984 nt
Filed under: human gut metagenome
Description: bacterial LSU rRNA
Rfam family: Bacterial large subunit ribosomal RNA
Source: RNAcentral
ACGGUCCUAAGGUAGCGAAAUUCCUUGUCAGGUAAGUUCUGACCCGCACGAAUGGUGUAAUGAUUUGGGCACUGUCUCAACAGCCCGCCCGGCGAAAUUGUAGUACCGGUGAAGAUGCCGGUUACCCGCGACAAGACGGAAAGACCCCAUGGAGCUUUACUGUAGCUUAAUAUUGGGUUUCGAUAAUUUAUGUACAGGAUAGGUGGGAGGCUUUGAAGCAGAGGCGCCAGCUUCUGUGGAGCCACCCUUGGGAUACCACCCUUAGAUUGUUGGAAUUCUAACCUGCGGCCGUGAAUCCGGCCGGGGGACAUUGUUAGGUGGGCAGUUUGACUGGGGCGGUCGCCUCCAAAAAGGUAACGGAGGCGCUCAAAGGUUCGUUCAGCACGGACGGAAACCGUGCAGUGAGUGUAAACGCAUAAACGAGCCUAACUGCGAGACCGACGGGUCGAGCAGUAACGAAAGUUGGAGUUAGUGAUCCGGCGGUAUGUGCGUGGAAAUGCCGUCGCUCAACGGAUAAAAGCUACCCUGGGGAUAACAGGCUGAUCUCCCCCAAGAGUCCACAUCGACGGGGAGGUUUGGCACCUCGAUGUCGGCUCAUCGCAUCCUGGGGCUGUAUUCGGUCCCAAGGGUUUGGCUGUUCGCCAAUUAAAGCGGUACGCGAGCUGGGUUCAGAACGUCGUGAGACAGUUCGGUCCCUAUCUGUCGUGGGCGCAGGAUAUUUGAGGAGCGCUGUCCCUAGUACGAGAGGACCGGGAUGGACGCACCUCUGGUGCACCAGUUGUCACGCCAGUGGCACAGCUGGGCAGCUAUGUGCGGAUCGGAUAAACGCUGAAAGCAUCUAAGCGUGAAGCCGGCCUGGAGAUAAGAUAUCCCACUGAGAUAAUCAGGUAAGACCCCUUGAAGACUACAAGGUUGAUAGGCUCAAAGUGUAAGCACGGUGACGUGUUCAGCUAGCGAGUACUAAUCGGUCGAGGGCUUGACCAC